UUAUUUUUAGCUCACCUGGCCUGAAGGGCCAAGUGAGCUUUUCUCAUCACUUGGCGUCCGUCGUCCGGCGUCGUCCGUCGUCGGCGUAAACUUUCUACAUUUUGAACUUCUUCUAGAGAACCACUGAAUGGAAUGAAACCAAACAUGGCAUGAAUGUUCCUUAUGAGGUGCUGACCAAGUGUUGUUACUUUGUAGCGGAUCCAUCAUCCAAGAUGGCCGCCAGCGGGGGACUUAGUUUAACAUAGGACCCUAUGGGAAAUACAUACAAAUGUCUUCUUUUAGAGAACCACUGAAUAGAAUGAAACCAAACAUGGCAUGAAUGUUUCUUAUGAGGUGCUGACCGAGUGUUGUUACUUUGAAGCUGAUCCAUAAUCCAAGAUGGCCGCCAGCGGGGGACUUAGUUUAACAUAGGACCCUAUGGGAAAUACAUACAAAUGUCUUCUUUUAGAGAACCACUGAAUGGAAUGAAACCAAACAUGGCAUGAAUGUUCCUUAUGAGGUGCUGACCGAGUGUUGUUACUUUGAAGCUGAUCCAUAAUCCAAGAUGGCCGCCAGCGGGGGACUUAGUUUAACAUGGGACCCUAUGGGAAAUACAUACAAAUGUCUUCUUUUAGAGAACCACUGAAUGGAAUGAAACCAAACAUGGCAUGAAUGUUCCUUAUGAGGUGCUGACCAAGUGUUGUUACUAUGAAGCUGAUCCAUAAUCCAAGAUGGCCACCAGCAGGGGACUUAGUUUAACAUUGGACCCUAUGGGAAAUACAUACAAAUGUCUUCUUUUAGAGAACCACUGAAUGGAAUGAAACCAAACAUGGCAUGAAUGUUUCUUAUGAGGUGCUGACCGAGUGUUGUUACUUUGAAGCCGAUCCAUAAUCCAAGAUGGCCGCCAGCGGGGGACUUAGUUUAACAUAGGACCCUACGGGAAAUACAUACAAAUGUCUUCUUUUAGAGAACCACUGAAUGGAAUGAAACCAAACAUGGCAUGAAUGUUCCUUAUGAGGUGCUGACCAAGUGUUGUUACUAUGAAGCUGAUCCAUAAUCCAAGAUGGCCGCCAGCAGGGGACUUAGUUUAACAUUGGACCCUAUAGGAAAUACAUACAAAUGUCUUCUUUUAGAGAACCACUGAAUGGAAUGAAACCAAACAUGGCAUGAAUGUUUCUUAUGAGGUGCUGACCGAGUGUUGUUACUUUGAAGCCGAUCCAUAAUCCAAGAUGGCCGCCAGCGGGGGACUUAGUUUAACAUUGGACCCUAUGGGAAAUACAUACAAAUGUCUUCUUUUAGAGAACCACUGAAUGGAAUGAAACCAAACAUGGCAUGAAUGUUCCUUAUGAGGUGCUGACCGAGUGUUGUUACUUUGAAGCUGAUCCAUAAUCCAAGAUGGCCGCCAGCGGGGGACUUAGUUUAACAUGGGACCCUAUGGGAAAUACAUACAAAUGUCUUCUUUUAGAGAACCACUGCAUGGAAUGAAACCAAACAUGGCAUGAAUGUUUCUUAUGAGGUGCUGACCGAGUGUUGUUACUUUGAAGCCGAUCCAUAAUCCAAGAUGGCCGCCUGCAGGGGACUUAGUUUAACAUGGGACCCUAUGAGAAAUACAUACAAAUGUCUUCUUUUAGAGAACCACUGAAUGGAAUGAAACCAAACAUGGCAUGAAUGUUCCUUAUGAGGUGCUGACCAAGUGUUGUUACUAUGAAGCUGAUCCAUAAUCCAAGAUGGCCGCCAACAGGGGACUUAGUUUAACAUUGGACCCUAUGGGAAAUACAUACAAAUGUCUUCUUUUAGAGAACCACUGAAUGGAAUGAAACCAAACAUGGCAUGAAUGUUUCUUAUGAGGUGCUGACCGAGUGUUGUUACUUUGAAGCCGAUCCAUAAUCCAAGAUGGCCGCCAGCGGGGGACUUAGUUUAACAUAGGACCCUACGGGAAAUACAUACAAAUGUCUUCUUUUAGAGAACCACUGAAUGGAAUGAAACCAAACAUGGCAUGAAUGUUCCUUAUGAGGUGCUGACCAAGUGUUGUUACUAUGAAGCUGAUCCAUAAUCCAAGAUGGCCGCCAGCAGGGGACUUAGUUUAACAUUGGACCCUAUAGGAAAUACAUACAAAUGUCUUCUUUUAGAGAACCACUGAAUGGAAUGAAACCAAACAUGGCAUGAAUGUUUCUUAUGAGGUGCUGACCGAGUGUUGUUACUUUGAAGCCGAUCCAUAAUCCAAGAUGGCCGCCAGCAGGGGACUUAGUUUAACAUUGGACCCUAUGGGAAAUACAUACAAAUGUCUUCUUUUAGAGAACCACUGAAUGGAAUGAAACCAAACAUGGCAUGAAUGUUCCUUAUGAGGUGCUGACCGAGUGUUGUUACUUUGAAGCUGAUCCAUAAUCCAAGAUGGCCGCCAGCGGGGGACUUAGUUUAACAUGGGACCCUAUGGGAAAUACAUACAAAUGUCUUCUUUUAGAGAACCACUGCAUGGAAUGAAACCAAACAUGGCAUGAAUGUUUCUUAUGAGGUGCUGACCAAGUGUUGUUACUAUGAAGCUGAUCCAUAAUCCAAGAUGGCCGCCAGCAGGGGACUUAGUUUAACAUUGGACCCUAUGGGAAAUACAUACAAAUGUCUUCUUUUAGAGAACCACUGAAUGGAAUGAAACCAAACAUGGCAUGAAUGUUUCUUAUGAGGUGCUGACCGAGUGUUGUUACUUUGAAGCCGAUCCAUAAUCCAAGAUGGCCGCCUGCAGGGGACUUAGUUUAACAUGGGACCCUAUGAGAAAUACAUACAAAUGUCUUCUUUUAGAGAACCACUGAAUGGAAUGAAACCAAACAUGGCAUGAAUGUUCCUUAUGAGGUGCUGACCGAGUGUUGUUACAUUGAAGCUGAUCCAUAAUCCAAGAUGGCCGCCAACAGGGGACUUAGUUUAACAUGGGACCCUAUGGGAAAUACAUACAAACGUCUUCUUUUAGAGAACCACUGAAUGGAAUGAAACCAAACAUGGCAAGAAUGUUCCUUAUGAGGUGCUGACCAAGUGUUGUUACUUUGAAGCUGAUCCAUAAUCCAAGAUGGCAGCCAGCGGGGGACUUAGUGUAACAUAGGACCCUAUGAGAAAUACAUACAAAUGUCUUCUUUUAGAGAACCACUGAAUGCAAUGAAACCAAACAUGGCAUGAAUGUUCCUUAUGAGGUGCUGACCAAGUGUUGUUACUAUGAAGCCGAUCCAUAAUCUAAGAUGGCCGCCAGAUGGGGACAAUGUUUAACAAAGGACCCUAUGGACAAUACAUACAAAUGUCUUCUUUUAGAGAACCACAUACUGAAUGGAUUGAAACCAAACAUGGCAUGAAUGUUCCUUAUGAGGUGCUGACUAAGUUUUGUUACUUUGAAGCUGAUCCUUCAUCCAUGAUGGCAGCCAAUGGGGGGACUUCCUUUAACAUAAGACCCUAUGGGAAAUACAUACAAAUGCUUCUUCUAGAGGUGCACUGAAUGGAAUGAAACCAAAACAUGGCAUAAAUGUUUCUUAUGAGGUGCUGAUUAAGUGUUGCUACUUUGUUGCCGAUUUACUGUUCAAGAUGGCCACCAGGAUUUUUUUAUUAAAUUACAGGACCAAUAUUGAACCAAAUUUGGCCUCACUCAUUAUUAGGGUAUCUGUUAUGAUUUUAAUCUAUUUUUACAUGAUUUCCAAAACCAAAGUAGAAUCAGGUGAGCGACACAGGCUCUUGAGAGCCUCUAGUUAUUUAUUUUUGUCAUCAUUUAAAAAUAAUAUUGCUGAAUUUAUUUGAAUAAACUUUUUAAGGUGGGACAAAAAAGGACAAAUAUCUCUCCCUCAACCUUGGAUUUCUGAUUUCUGAUUUUUAUUCAAUACUUAUUUUACAAUGUCAUUUUUAAGAUUCAACAAAAAGCAGGAGGACUUAAAAUUCUUGAAGUGGUAGACAUUAAACAUUUUAACCAGUCUUAACCUAAAUAUUCACCGACAACAAAAGUGUAAACUGAUUAGACAUUAAAUGCCGUGAUGUUGAAAAAGAUGUCAUUUUACAUCACACAGCAAAAUAUGUUAAACCAAAGCACUUUGAGAUUUGAUACUUUUAAUUGGACUAGACAAAAUUUAUAGUUUGCACAAGUUAAAUAACUAAAUUAAGUGUAGCAUUCCUAUCAUGUCAAUCAUUCAAAAGUGAAGUAUUGAUUGGUUCUUAUCUUACAGGGAGGUUGGUAAAGACAGAGGAGAGGUAAAUCUUCCUCUUCAUAUCAAAAUUACACGAAGAGGUAAUAUAUAAAAAUAUCUAAAUAAUAAUUGAAGAGGUUUUUCUUCCUCUUAUUAAUAAAAUUUUAUAAAGGGGAAAGCUUUAAUUAAGGAACAUGAUGUUAAUGUGGCCAAAAGGAUGUAUAUUUUGUUAAUAUUGUUACACAUGUUAAUAAACUUUAUAUAAAAA
Long non-coding RNA from Mytilus californianus (California mussel), 4395 nucleotides. RefSeq lists it as uncharacterized. NCBI's taxonomy places the organism in Eukaryota, Metazoa, Mollusca, Bivalvia, Mytilida, Mytilidae. The transcript has 2 exons. The record is from RefSeq and is a predicted model, not a curated record.